Molecule: ribosomal RNA, 400 nt
Filed under: Candida tropicalis
Lineage: Eukaryota; Fungi; Ascomycota; Pichiomycetes; Serinales; Debaryomycetaceae
Description: eukaryotic LSU rRNA
Rfam family: Eukaryotic large subunit ribosomal RNA
Source: RNAcentral
UGAAGAAGGUAUCUUUGGGUCUGGCUCUUGUCUAUGUCUUCUUGGAACAGAACGUCACAGAGGGUGAGAAUCCCGUGCGAUGAGAUGAUCCAGGCCUAUGUAAAGUUCCUUCGAAGAGUCGAGUUGUUUGGGAAUGCAGCUCUAAGUGGGUGGUAAAUUCCAUCUAAAGCUAAAUAUUGGCGAGAGACCGAUAGCGAACAAGUACAGUGAUGGAAAGAUGAAAAGAACUUUGAAAAGAGAGUGAAAAAGUACGUGAAAUUGUUGAAAGGGAAGGGCUUGAGAUCAGACUUGGUAUUUUGUAUGUUACUUCUUCGGGGGUGGCCUCUACAGUUUAUCGGGCCAGCAUCAGUUUGGGCGGUAGGAGAAUUGCGUUGGAAUGUGGCACGGCUUCGGUUGUGUG